UGGCAAAAAGAUAUAACGAAAAAGCAAUACUAGGAACCACCUCCUUGCCAGCCCAAUCUCCCUUGGGCUGGUUUUCUU
Hafnia alvei FB1 is the source of this 78-nucleotide small RNA. It matches the Rfam family "CyaR/Rye RNA". From Rfam's summary of the family: This sRNA was originally identified in a large scale screen of E. coli. It was shown to bind Hfq and called RyeE. The record is from Rfam. NCBI's taxonomy places the organism in Bacteria, Pseudomonadati, Pseudomonadota, Gammaproteobacteria, Enterobacterales, Hafniaceae.